GUGCUCACAUAGGCAGCACAUAUACUAAAAUCAGAACGAUACAAAAAGAUUAGCAUGGCCUCUGAGCAAAGAUGACACACAAAAUUGGUGAAGCGCUCCAUAUUUUU
Molecule: small nuclear RNA, 107 nt
Organism: Ailuropoda melanoleuca (giant panda)
Lineage: Eukaryota; Metazoa; Chordata; Mammalia; Carnivora; Ursidae
Source: Ensembl